RNAcentral lists this ribosomal RNA (1481 nucleotides) under Lactiplantibacillus plantarum. Its description in RNAcentral is "bacterial SSU rRNA". It matches the Rfam family "Bacterial small subunit ribosomal RNA". The record is from RNAcentral. Lineage: Bacteria; Bacillati; Bacillota; Bacilli; Lactobacillales; Lactobacillaceae.
ACGCUGGCGGCGUGCCUAAUACAUGCAAGUCGAACGAACUCUGGUAUUGAUUGGUGCUUGCAUCAUGAUUUACAUUUGAGUGAGUGGCGAACUGGUGAGUAACACGUGGGAAACCUGCCCAGAAGCGGGGGAUAACACCUGGAAACAGAUGCUAAUACCGCAUAACAACUUGGACCGCAUGGUCCGAGCUUGAAAGAUGGCUUCGGCUAUCACUUUUGGAUGGUCCCGCGGCGUAUUAGCUAGAUGGUGGGGUAACGGCUCACCAUGGCAAUGAUACGUAGCCGACCUGAGAGGGUAAUCGGCCACAUUGGGACUGAGACACGGCCCAAACUCCUACGGGAGGCAGCAGUAGGGAAUCUUCCACAAUGGACGAAAGUCUGAUGGAGCAACGCCGCGUGAGUGAAGAAGGGUUUCGGCUCGUAAAACUCUGUUGUUAAAGAAGAACAUAUCUGAGAGUAACUGUUCAGGUAUUGACGGUAUUUAACCAGAAAGCCACGGCUAACUACGUGCCAGCAGCCGCGGUAAUACGUAGGUGGCAAGCGUUGUCCGGAUUUAUUGGGCGUAAAGCGAGCGCAGGCGGUUUUUUAAGUCUGAUGUGAAAGCCUUCGGCUCAACCGAAGAAGUGCAUCGGAAACUGGGAAACUUGAGUGCAGAAGAGGACAGUGGAACUCCAUGUGUAGCGGUGAAAUGCGUAGAUAUAUGGAAGAACACCAGUGGCGAAGGCGGCUGUCUGGUCUGUAACUGACGCUGAGGCUCGAAAGUAUGGGUAGCAAACAGGAUUAGAUACCCUGGUAGUCCAUACCGUAAACGAUGAAUGCUAAGUGUUGGAGGGUUUCCGCCCUUCAGUGCUGCAGCUAACGCAUUAAGCAUUCCGCCUGGGGAGUACGGCCGCAAGGCUGAAACUCAAAGGAAUUGACGGGGGCCCGCACAAGCGGUGGAGCAUGUGGUUUAAUUCGAAGCUACGCGAAGAACCUUACCAGGUCUUGACAUACUAUGCAAAUCUAAGAGAUUAGACGUUCCCUUCGGGGACAUGGAUACAGGUGGUGCAUGGUUGUCGUCAGCUCGUGUCGUGAGAUGUUGGGUUAAGUCCCGCAACGAGCGCAACCCUUAUUAUCAGUUGCCAGCAUUAAGUUGGGCACUCUGGUGAGACUGCCGGUGACAAACCGGAGGAAGGUGGGGAUGACGUCAAAUCAUCAUGCCCCUUAUGACCUGGGCUACACACGUGCUACAAUGGAUGGUACAACGAGUUGCGAACUCGCGAGAGUAAGCUAAUCUCUUAAAGCCAUUCUCAGUUCGGAUUGUAGGCUGCAACUCGCCUACAUGAAGUCGGAAUCGCUAGUAAUCGCGGAUCAGCAUGCCGCGGUGAAUACGUUCCCGGGCCUUGUACACACCGCCCGUCACACCAUGAGAGUUUGUAACACCCAAAGUCGGUGGGGUAACCUUUUAGGAACCAGCCGCCUAAGGUGGGACAGAUGAUAGGG